UACCAGCACCCCGAGUGGUCGGGGCGAUUAUUGGGCCUAAAGCAUCCGUAGCCGGUCAUGCAAGUCUUCCGUUAAAUCCACCUGCUUAACAGAUGGGCUGCGGAGGAUACUAUAGAGCUAGGAGGCGGGAGAGGCAAGCGGUACUUAGUGGGUAGGGGUAAAAUCCGUUGAUCCAUUGAAGACCACCAGUGGCGAAGGCGGCUUGCCAGAACGCACUCGACGGUGAGGGAUGAAAGCUGGGGGAGCAAACCGG
Molecule: ribosomal RNA, 253 nt
Filed under: uncultured bacterium
Lineage: Bacteria
Description: partial 16S ribosomal RNA
Rfam family: Archaeal small subunit ribosomal RNA
Source: RNAcentral